UGGGGAAUAUUGCAGAAUGGGCGAAAGCCUGAUGCAGCGACGCCGCGUGAGGGAUGACGGCCUUCGGGUUGUAAACCUCUUUCAGCAGGGACGAAGCGCAAGUGACGGUACCUGCAGAAGAAGCACCGGCUAACUACGUGCCAGCAGCCGCGGUAAUACGUAGGGUGCAAGCGUUGUCCGGAAUUACUGGGCGUAAAGAGUUCGUAGGCGGUUUGUCGCGUCGUUUGUGAAAACCAGCAGCUCAACUGCUGGCUUGCAGGCGAUACGGGCAGACUUGAGUACUGCAGGGGAGACUGGAAUUCCUGGUGUAGCGGUGAAAUGCGCAGAUAUCAGGAGGAACACCGGUGGCGAAGGCGGGUCUCUGGGCAGUAACUGACGCUGAGGAACGAAAGCGUGGGUAGCGAACAGG
Molecule: ribosomal RNA, 409 nt
Filed under: bacterium
Lineage: Bacteria
Description: partial 16S ribosomal RNA
Rfam family: Bacterial small subunit ribosomal RNA
Source: RNAcentral